UACAGAGGGUGCGAGCGUUAAUCGGAAUUACUGGGCGUAAAGCGUGCGUAGACGGUUAUUUAAGUCGGGUGUGAAAGCCCCGGGCUCAACCUGGGAAUUGCAUUCGAGACUGAAUAGCUAGGGUACGGUAGAGGGAAGUGGAAUUUCCGGUGUAGCGGUGAAAUGCGUAGAUAUCGGAAGGAACAUCAGUGGCGAAAGCACUCUGCUGGGCCGACACUGACACUGAGAGACGAAAGCUAGGGGAGCAAAUGGG
This 253-nucleotide ribosomal RNA is filed under the name uncultured bacterium. Its description in RNAcentral is "partial 16S ribosomal RNA". It matches the Rfam family "Bacterial small subunit ribosomal RNA", at positions 524 to 776 of the family's 1533-position model. The record is from RNAcentral.